Malus domestica (apple) is the source of this 2859-nucleotide non-coding RNA. The record is from RefSeq and is a predicted model, not a curated record. NCBI's taxonomy places the organism in Eukaryota, Viridiplantae, Streptophyta, Magnoliopsida, Rosales, Rosaceae.
CUUUUUUUCAAAGCACAGCAAUACCAAACCAGCCCUUAGAGAGAGAAAUUAGAGAGAGGAGCGCAGAGAGGGAGUAAAAGUAGAGUGAGAGUGAGUUGAGAGAGAUAUUAAUGGCCUGAUUGGCAUCUGACUUGAAAACGAAAUUCAAAAUUUUAAUUUUUUCUAAAAACACAUGUUUUGAUUUAAAAAUUUUAAAUUCAAAACCUUGUUUGGUAUGCAAUUUCUCAAAACUAAUACAAACAGAAAAAGUCAAACGCCCAGCCCAAGCAAUUACCUGACCACCGCAUCCCUCACUUCCCUAGCGGCGACUCCUUUGGCUAUACCAACUCCAAACUUGCGCUGACAGAGGCUAAUCAUGUUAGCAGUCUCAAACCUGAGAUCCAACGACCAUAUGGAAGAUGUGGUGGCUAUGGUGGAUAUAAGCGGGAAGGGAUUGGAAAUGCAAUAGAGAGGAGAGAUCGAAUUGUCUUGGCUGGAGGCAGAAGGAUAGAGGUGGUGGCUAUGGUGGAUAUAAGCGGGAAGGGAUUGGAAGUGCAAUAGAGAAAAGAGGAUUGAAGAGGCAAGAGGGAAGGGAGUACAUCGAAUGAGAGAGAGGAGAGAGAGGGAGAGAGAGAAGGGGAAUGAUAAUCCAUAAAUUAAAAGGUCUAAAAACACACUUUUUGUGUUUUCAACCAAUAGCCCUUGUUUUCAGAUAUUUUUGAGUAGUGGUUUUGAGAAUUGUAUUCAAAUCCACUACCAAACAAAGACUUUAAAUUUGUGACUCAAAACUUGUUUUUGAGUUAAAAACAUUGGAUCCAAAUCAAAUACCGAACAGACCCUAAAGUAUCUAUUUAAAUAUUUUGAAUUUGGGGAUGGGGGGAGAGACUUUGUUUCAGAAAUUGAAAUUUUUUAAAACAAUUGUCAGAAUUUAGGCUCAAUUAACAUAUUAUACAGUACCAACUUAACUAAUAUAAAGAGUUCCGACCAAAAAUACAGUAACGAAGAAAACAAACUAGCUAUUUUUACGCGAUCUCAAUUUCGCUUCCGCUCCGGGCAGUGGCUAACACCUGCUAAAGUAAAAAAAAUCGAGAAUCACAUCAACGAAUUGACAAAUAGAAGCCCACUAGCCUCAAUUUUGUGUAAAAAUAACAUUACGUAAGGUAUCGUUUGGUAUGCAGACGGGACGGGACGGAACAGAGAGGGAGCAAAUUUUGUGUUCCACAGAUGUGGAACGAAUCGUUCUAGGGGAUGAGGCGGAAUGAAAAUUCACCCAAAACUCAUCCCGUGGAACAGCGCGUUCCACCUGUUUUAGGCGUACCAAACGUCUCACGGAACACCUCGUCUCACUCCGUUCCGUCCCGUCCCACGUACCAAACGGUACAUAAGGUAACUCAGGUGAUAAGUUAAAAAUAACUCCUCAUCCAGUGUGCGAGUUAAAAAUUAAAUAAACAAAUAAAAACUAAAAAGAAGCAGAAUCAAAGGGUUUGAGCUUUAGUAGCUUAGUAAGGACAUGACCUUACCACAAUAAAUUGACCAAACUAGUUCCCAUAUUCAUACCUCUAUUCUUGUGAAUUCAUACUCCAAAAUACACAAAAGCCUCACGCAUUCCGUACAGUGCUUUGGACUCGAGUGUCUUGUUAUAUAAAUUACCACCCAUGACACAUCCCACUAUUACAUGUUUGAAUCUCCUAACUCCAGCUUCUGGAGCAGGGCCGGCCCUAAGAUUUCAGGGGCCUUGUGCGAAAGUGAAUUGGAUGCCCUAAAAAGUACUAAAGAUUUAAUUUUUUAAUUUUUUUGUUCAAAAAAAUAAUUUUAGUCCAGCUUAUGGAGCAGGGCCGGCCCUAAGAUUUCAGGGGCCAUGUGCGAAAGUGAAUUGAAGGCCCUAAAAAGUACUAAAGAUUUAUUUUUUUUAAUUUUUUUGUUCGAAAAAAUAAUUUUUGUUUUUAAUUAAACUUCUAUAAAUUCCAAUAGCACAAACAAAUUUAACAUAUCAACAAGUGGAAAGGUGGUGUAUUAUUUUUCCUUAACUAUUUAGAGGGCCAGUGUUCGAAUUUUCAUGUUAUUGUGUGAAAUUUUUAUAUUAUUUUGUGGAAGCUUAUGUAUUUAAUAAAAAUAAACUGAAAAAAUAAUGGAGACAAGUUUCAAACCCAUCCCCUAGGCCGAUGUAAAGAAGCAAUAAUAUCACUUGCGCUAAGACUCAAGUUUGUAAUAUUCUACACAUAUUACUAUAUAUACGUAUAUGCAUGCAAAAUUGAAAAAUCGGGGGCCUUCCGAUUUGGGGACCCUGUGCGGUGGCACUACUUGCACCCCCCUCAAGGCCGGCCCUAUUAUGGAGUUCUUUCCAACAGUCGAUUGUUGGCAAUCGGGCAGAGAUCUAUUUUCUGUAGCAGGAAGCAAAGGCCUUACUAGAUAGGGCAAUCAGAAGCGUCGGUUUACGACACAGGGAGAGAAAUGCAACCACGAGAUAAAAGUUGGGUAAGUGUAGUAUAGCCUUUUUAUUUGAGUGCCCGAAACCCCCAAAAUGGUCCCUCACAUAAAGGUCGUAUUUCCCAUGCCUAAAUUCUAAAGCAUUGCUCCGAGUUACGAACAUUCUAAAGCAUUGCUCCGAGUUACGAACAUAAGAAUCCAUUACUGCGACAAGCACCUGUUCACAAAUAUGUAAGAUAUCGAUAUUACUAAUGAAUAACUAUAACUGUAGCCGUAUUGUUUGGGAUUACUAAUUCAACACUACUAUUAUCCAAAUGCCAUUUUGAUGCAAGUGACCCUUUACCACAAUGGUGAAAAUGUAUAAAGUCCUUACGUGACGGCAUGGGUUCGAGUUCUAUCGGUGGUUAAUUUAGCAUUUAAUCUAAUAAAAUUUAUCGUCUGACAAAAAAAAAA